Molecule: small nuclear RNA, 107 nt
Organism: Suncus etruscus (white-toothed pygmy shrew)
Lineage: Eukaryota; Metazoa; Chordata; Mammalia; Eulipotyphla; Soricidae
Source: RefSeq, a predicted model, not a curated record
GUACUUGCUUCAGCAGUGCAUAUACUAAAAUUGAAUGUUAUUGAGAUGAUUAACACGGCCCCUGAGCAAGGAUGACAUGCAAAAUUCAUGAAUCACUCAAAAUUUAA